UGCCGAAACGCCAGGCGCGUCUGCGCGCCGGCGUCCGGUGGGGAUGGCCGCCCACCGCUGAGGAUUGGCAGGCCGAC
Molecule: non-coding RNA, 77 nt
Filed under: Anaerolineae bacterium
Lineage: Bacteria; Bacillati; Chloroflexota; Anaerolineae
Source: RNAcentral